ACUCCUACGGGAGGCAGCAGUGGGGAAUAUUGGACAAUGGGCGCAAGCCUGAUCCAGCCAUGCCGCGUGUGUGAAGAAGGCCUUCGGGUUGUAAAGCACUUUUGUACGGGAAGAAAGCGCCGGCUUAAUACGUUGGCGUCAUGACGGUACCGUAAGAAUAAGCACCGGCUAACUUCGUGCCAGCAGCCGCGGUAAUACGAAGGGUGCAAGCGUUACUCGGAAUUACUGGGCGUAAAGCGUGCGUAGGUGGUUUGUUAAGUCUGAUGUGAAAG
This 272-nucleotide ribosomal RNA is filed under the name uncultured bacterium. RNAcentral describes it as "partial 16S ribosomal RNA". It matches the Rfam family "Bacterial small subunit ribosomal RNA", at positions 335 to 600 of the family's 1533-position model. The record is from RNAcentral.